UUUUAAACUAUGAUAGAGAGAGUAGAUAUAGAAAUUUUUAAAGGGAGAAAAAGUCAUAGACUGAGAGCUUUUUCAAAAGGAAUAUAUUGAAGUUCACUCUGGAGUUCUAAGUGUGAAAUUAAAGUAGCAUUUAGCGGCAUAUGUCGAUAAAAUCUCAAGAGAAUUGAAAAUUGAUAUUUUCAAUUAAUAAGGGUGGUAACGCGGAAUAACUUCGUCCCUAGU
This 222-nucleotide non-coding RNA is filed under the name Clostridium novyi. Its description in RNAcentral is "T-box sequence". It matches the Rfam family "T-box leader". From Rfam's summary of the family: Uncharged tRNA acts as the effector for transcription antitermination of genes in the T-box leader family. T-boxes are found upstream of many aminoacyl-tRNA synthetase genes and some amino acid biosynthetic genes usually in Gram-positive bacteria. The anticodon of a specific tRNA base pairs to a specifier sequence within the T-box motif, and the NCCA acceptor tail of the tRNA base pairs to a conserved bulge in the T-box antiterminator hairpin. Lineage: Bacteria; Bacillati; Bacillota; Clostridia; Eubacteriales; Clostridiaceae. The record is from RNAcentral.